UCAACGAGGAUCAAUUGGAGGGCAAGUCUGGUGCCAGCAGCCGCGGUAAUUCCAGCUCCGUUAGCGUAUAUUAAAUUUGUUGCAGUUAAAAAGCUCGUAGUUGAAUUUCUGGUAGGAGUGACCUGGCCUUUGACGAAUGUCAAUGUUUGCUGUGUGUCAUCUCUGGCCAUCCUCGGCCUGCUUUUAGUAGGCCGUCAUUUACUGUAAAAAAAUUAGAGUGUUUCAAGCAUUUUGUAUGAAAAGAAUAUAUUAGUAUGGAAUAAUAAGAUAGGACUUUGGUGCUAUUUUGUUGGUUUGCACACCAAAGUAAUGAUGAAUAGGGACAGUUGGGGGUAUUCGUAUUUAAUUGUCAGAGGUGAAAUUCUUGGAUUUAUGAAAGACGAACUACUGCGAAGGCAUUUACCAAGGAUGUUUUCAUUGAUCAAGAACGAAAGUAUGGGGAUCGAAGAUGAUUAGAUACCAUCGUAGUCUAUACUUCAAACUAUGCCGACUUGCGAUUGUCUGGUGGUGUUUUUUGGCCCCAGGCAGCAGCACAUGAGAAAUCAAAGUCUUUGGGUUCCGGGGGGAGUAUGGUCGCAAGAUUGAAACUUAAAGGAAUUGACGGAAGGGCACCACCAGGUGUGGAGCCUGCGGCUUAAUUUGACUCAACACGGGGAAACUUACCAGGUCCAGACAUAGGAAGGAUUGACAGAUUGAGAGCUCUUUCUUGAUUCUAUGGGUGGUGGUGCAUGGCCGUUCUUAGUUGGUGGAGCGAUUUGUCUGGUUAAUUCCGUUAACGAACGAGAUCCUAUUCUGCUAACUGUUGCAACAGUCUUUGGAAUGUUGGUACACUUAGAGGGACAUUGCGUGAGUAAUGCACGGAAGAGUCGGGCAAUAACAGGUCUGUGAUGCCCUUAGAUGUCCUGGGCCGCACGCGUGCUACACUGACGCAUACAGCGAGUA
RNAcentral lists this ribosomal RNA (942 nucleotides) under Mucochytrium quahogii. RNAcentral's name for it is "labyrinthulid quahog parasite QPX partial Eukaryotic small subunit ribosomal RNA". It matches the Rfam family "Eukaryotic small subunit ribosomal RNA", at positions 534 to 1521 of the family's 1831-position model. Lineage: Eukaryota; Bigyra; Thraustochytrida; Thraustochytriidae. The record is from RNAcentral.